AUUCUUCUGGACAAUGAGUCCCAUCAUCUCUCCACCAUGCACCUUGUGACUCCCUCCUCUGCUGACAACAGAUAACCACCUUUAACUCCUGUUUAGGUGGUCUUCUAUACGGACAUGCUUGACACUUGGUGCCAAAAUCUGGGCCAGGGGGACUCCUUCGUGAGACCGGCCCCCUGUCCUGGCCCUCAUUCCGUGAAGAGAUCCACCUGCGACCUCGGGUCCUCAGACCAGCCCAAGGAACAUCUCACCAAUUUCAAAUCGGCCCCUUCUAGGGUCCCUGGAGCUCUGGCUCAAAGCUCUCUGGCUGACUCCUUCCCAGAUCUCCUCGGCUUAGUGGCUGAAGACUGAUGCUGCCCGAUCGCCUCAGAAGCCCCUUGGACCAUCACAGAUGCCGAGCUUCGGGUAACUCUUACGGUGGAGGAUUCCCAGCCAUAUGAAGACACCCUAGCUGGACGAUCAGUCCUUGUCAAAAGUCUGACCCCUCAAACUCUACAGCCUCAAUGGACCAGACCCUACCCGGUCAUUUAUAGCACACCAACUGCCGUCCAUCUGCAGGACCCUCUCCAUUGGGUUCACCAUUCCAGAAUAAAGCCAUGCCCAUCAGACAGCCAGCUUGAUCUCUCCUCUUCCUCCUGGAAGCCACAAGAUUAGGCCGAGAGCCGAUCAGACAAACAACCUACAACCCUUAAGCUCCUGGCAGCGCCCAGCCAAGGCCAUGCUUCCUUGCAACACUCCUUCCAAAUGGCCAUCCCAGCAUGCUUCCAAGCAGGCUUCAUCCGUUCCUCUGGACCCUCAUCUCUUAAGACCUGCCGCCUAUAAAAAGGAUUAUAUCUUGAGACCCUAUCCUCUAAAAUUUUUUCCACACCCAAAACAAAAAA
RNAcentral lists this long non-coding RNA (878 nucleotides) under Homo sapiens (human). Its description in RNAcentral is "urothelial cancer associated 1". The stretch from base 650 to 724 matches the Rfam family "Urothelial cancer associated 1 conserved region". The record is from RNAcentral. Lineage: Eukaryota; Metazoa; Chordata; Mammalia; Primates; Hominidae.